This 372-nucleotide ribosomal RNA is filed under the name uncultured bacterium. RNAcentral's name for it is "bacterial SSU rRNA". It matches the Rfam family "Bacterial small subunit ribosomal RNA", at positions 524 to 898 of the family's 1533-position model. The record is from RNAcentral.
UACGGAGGAUGCAAGCGUUAUCCGGAUUCAUUGGGUUUAAAGGGUGCGCAGGCGGAAUGAUAAGUCAGUGGUGAAAUCCUGCAGCUUAACUGCAGAACUGCCAUUGAUACUGUUGUUCUUGAGUAUAGUUGAAGUGGGCGGAAUGUGUCAUGUAGCGGUGAAAUGCUUAGAUAUGACACAGAACACCGAUCGCGAAGGCAGCUCGCUAAGCUAUAACUGACGCUCAUGCACGAAAGCGUGGGGAUCAAACAGGAUUAGAUACCCUGGUAGUCCACGCUGUAAACGAUGAUUACUCGAUGUUGGCGAUAUACAGUCAGCGUCUAAGCGAAAGCAUUAAGUAAUCCACCUGGGGAGUACGUUCGCAAGGAUGAA